UACGUAGGGGGCAAGCGUUGUCCGGAUUUAUUGGGCGUAAAGAGCGUGUAGGCGGCCAGGUAGGUCGGUUGUGAAAACUGGAGGCUCAACCUCCAGACGUCGACCGAAACCAUCUGGCUAGAGUCCGGAAGAGGAGAGUGGAAUUCCUGGUGUAGCGGUGAAAUGCGCAGAUAUCAGGAAGAACACCGAUGGCGAAGGCAGCUCUCUGGGACGGUACUGACGCUGAGACGCGAAAGCGUGGGGAGCGAACAGG
This 253-nucleotide ribosomal RNA is filed under the name uncultured bacterium. RNAcentral describes it as "partial 16S ribosomal RNA". It matches the Rfam family "Bacterial small subunit ribosomal RNA", at positions 524 to 776 of the family's 1533-position model. The record is from RNAcentral.